This 479-nucleotide ribosomal RNA is filed under the name Arthrobacter sp. pectinolitic_27. Its description in RNAcentral is "bacterial SSU rRNA". It matches the Rfam family "Bacterial small subunit ribosomal RNA", at positions 1 to 501 of the family's 1533-position model. The record is from RNAcentral. Lineage: Bacteria; Bacillati; Actinomycetota; Actinomycetes; Micrococcales; Micrococcaceae.
UAGAGUUUGAUCAUGGCUCAGGAUGAACGCUGGCGGCGUGCUUAACACAUGCAAGUCGAACGAUGAUCCUCACUUGUGGGGGGAUUAGUGGCGAACGGGUGAGUAACACGUGAGUAACCUGCCCUUGACUCUGGGAUAAGCCUGGGAAACUGGGUCUAAUACCGGAUAUGACUGAUCAUCGCAUGGUGGUUGGUGGAAAGCUUUUGCGGUUUUGGAUGGACUCGCGGCCUAUCAGCUUGUUGGUGGGGUAAUGGCCUACCAAGGCGACGACGGGUAGCCGGCCUGAGAGGGUGACCGGCCACACUGGGACUGAGACACGGCCCAGACUCCUACGGGAGGCAGCAGUGGGGAAUAUUGCACAAUGGGCGGAAGCCUGAUGCAGCGACGCCGCGUGAGGGAUGACGGCCUUCGGGUUGUAAACCUCUUUCAGUAGGGAAGAAGCGUAAGUGACGGUACCUGCAGAAGAAGCCCCGAUCCUC